RNAcentral lists this transfer RNA (68 nucleotides) under Cavia porcellus (domestic guinea pig). It matches the Rfam family "tRNA". From Rfam's summary of the family: Transfer RNA (tRNA) molecules are approximately 80 nucleotides in length. Their secondary structure includes four short double-helical elements and three loops (D, anti-codon, and T loops). Lineage: Eukaryota; Metazoa; Chordata; Mammalia; Rodentia; Caviidae. The record is from Rfam by way of RNAcentral.
CGGGGUGUGGCUCAGUGGGACAGCGCUUGCCUUGCAUGCAUGAAGGCUGGGUUCAAUCCCCACCCCUG